UCGAAUGACUCAUUGAAUUCCUAACCAAUUCAUUUCAGAAAGCAUACAUUCAUGUUCCUUAUCUCGGUGCUAUUCAUUUCUCAGCCACAAAAUGAUGCCAUUGAGAGAGAGCUCUAUAAGCUCAUGACUAUGCAAAUUAGAGUAUUUGUUGUUUACAUGACACCCCGUCUUGUCUCUCUCUCGUCUCUUUGCCAUUCGCAAAGACCUCGAGAUGAUGGAUGAAGAUGAUCUUAGUUUUUUAAAAAAUAAUGUGCUAAUUUAAAUGAAUAAUUUUAAAUUAUGUAAUAUAUUUAGUCGUUUAUUAACCAUUUAGUUAAAAUCGCCCUGUAGUUUAGUCGCGGCUCCUCGUCGAGGAUUCCUGAACCUGUUGCAGAAACAGAAGAUCUGUAGAUGGUGAGAACGUCGUCCUCACAUGUUCUCAGUAGGAAUAGUGAAUGCCGUAAAAAUACAGAAUAAAUACAAAUAGUUAACUCAUAUCCCAAACACAAUUUUCUUUAUUAAACCCUUAAAAUUCUUCCUAAGUCUUACUAAGUCUUACUUUAAGCUGUUUAAACCUUUCUUUAAACCACAUUAGUAAGUUUGCCGCAUAACAAAAUAACCAAUUAAGCAUACAAGCAAGACACCAAGGCAAACAGCACAAGCAAACAACACAAUCACAGGAAAAUAAAAUAAACAACCACAGUCAAAUGCAAGUGUGCAAACAAUUCAUGAUGUAUGCCUGUUCCUAGCGCAGACCAUCAGCUCAUGCGUUGGUUGUCUACUCGCAACCCGAUGUUACUCGGAGUGAACCCCGAAUAUGGUUCCUUUACUGUGUCAGUUAGACACCUUGGCAUUACGGUUACCCGUGUCAGUUAGGCAUCAUCAUAAUAGCAUUUUAAUGUGCAUCACAGUAAGUAAUAGUGCUAUCAAUUAGAUGAACAUUCUCGCAUUAGCAAUCUCAAGCUAUCAGUUAGACGGGCACUUUCGCAUUAGUAGUUUAGCGCAAGGCCCGUUUAACAUAUAAUUCUCAAUUAUUUAUUUCAUUCUUUACUUCCCUUUUCUUUUCAUCUAAGUAUCCUUUCCAAUCUUUAAUUCCCACUUUCUUUUCUUUCCAUUAUGCCUCCAUUUCACCUUAUAUCUAAGCAUACCUCCGCAUCACCAAGAAACUUAAAAGUACCUCCGCAUCACUGUGAAACUAGGCGUACCUCCGCAUCACCGCUUAGCUUUAAACGUGUCCUAGGAAUAACCUACACACCUUUGUUUAACUAAGCUCUUACAUUCUGCCAAAUUUGGACAUAUCCUUUGGGUCUAAAUCAAGUUUUACCACGUUUGGAUUAGAAUUGAAUCCGAUAGCCAACUUAAUAAAAUCUGCUGCCGCACUAAAGAGAAUUCAGAAAAAAUAUAGCAAGCAGCUCGGUUUUUGAUAAAUCUAUAAUAAAUUCAAUUCUAAUCCAUUACUUCUAAAUUUUGGUGAGGAUACACUCGACACCCCUAAGUUUUAGAACAAACAAUUUUCAGAUUCUUAGCGCCUUGUUUGGUUAAUUAAAUAUCAAUUGGAAGUACUGCCCUGUUUCUUUAAUUUGGUUCUGAAGUUCCUGAGAACAGCCCAGCUUCCAAGAGACAUAACUAACUCUACAAAAUAGCUAUGGACAUGAAAUUUGUACUCACUUAAAAUAGGCUUUCAGAUCUUAAAAAUCCAUUUGGAAGCAACUCAAAAUUCCAAAUAAAACAAAAGUUAUAGCGGCUAAAAGUUGGUACUGCAAAAUCAGAAAACCAGAAAAUUCUACGGCAACCACUAAACUUCAAAAAUUCAUAUCUUCCAAACCGCUUGGCCAAAUUCUCUGAAAAUUUUAUGGAGAAAUCUUGACUUGAAAUUUAUAGAAAAAUGGAUUGGUUCGAAAAUCAUGUCUAGAUUGCUCCCAGAUUUUAUUUUGAGUUGCUGCCAAUUAUGCAGAAAAUUCUGCAUUAAGUAAUUUAACAACCCUUCAUACCAAACUAUAUAUUCAAGCCUAAAAUUCCUCUAAAACCACAAUUCCGACUUUCUUUUGACUAAUCAAAGUUGCAAAAGUGUUUAGCACAGCCCCAGGAGUUCAGACUCUUCCAUUCACCCCUUUUCACAAGUGCACAUAUACUUAAUUGAACAUGUACUUAGUCAUAAUCAAAUUCUCACUUUUCUGCACUAUGUCAACCAUAACUUUUCAUUUAUACAUCAUCAUUCAAACAUAUAAUAAGUCUUUAUUCCUCAUCAAUCAAGCAUAUGAUAAAUUAUUAAUUCUCAUCAGCAAGCACAGCCACAAAAAUAACAAUCUAUCUGUCCUAUUCCUUACUUCCACAAUUUCAAUUUAGCAAGCAACACUAAAAUUAUCAACAUUCACAAUCAUCAAUUCAAUCAUAGUAGCGAAUCGUUCACAACCAAAAUUCGAACUCAAUAACAGUAUAAUUAUUAACAUAUUUGCAAUUAUCUACUAUACUUUUGAGUAUUCUUAAAUCGAAAAUUCUUAAUUUUAAAAUAAAAUCCCCUACCGUAAAUCGACUCAGCCACGCGAUUUGGACCAGCAGCGAUAACCCAUCUGCGGCAAUGACAGCAGCAUUCAUUUCUUAUUGCAACGUCAAUGACCACAGCACCCGGAGGAAAUAUUGGAUCUAAAUUGAAUGAAAGACAACAAGAAAUAGUGCUGGAAAAAUCCAAGGUAAAGCAGAGGCUCAAUAAAGUCAGAAUGGUAGAAUACCGAAGUGAAGCAGAUCCAAGGAAAAAGAGCGAACCAGAAUAGUUCCAAGUUAGUGCCACCGGUGGUUCUAGUAUUGUUUCUUCGGUGAGGAAAAAGGCAGGACAUGGCUAAGCAAGGGAGUUACAGUGACCCCAAACAGCUUCAACAACAAGGACGAUAGUUUGGUUCACCACCAUCAGCGACGCACAGCUCAACAGCAGACUCCACCUGCGGCAAUGGCGGUAGCAACGGCGACGUCAAUGGCUCCGGCGGCUGACCGUAGCAACAGCAGCAGUGCUACCCUCCUUCCCAUCAUUCUCUCUUCUUCGUCAUUAUUCCUCUUCUUCUUUGCCCUAAUCGGCGUCGACGGCAGCAAGGUGUGGCGGUGACGAUGCGAGACAACGCCCCUUCCUCUUCUCCUCGAUCGCGCCUUCUCUCUCGAUCUUUGCUUCUCUUCUGCUCGAUCGCCCCUUCCCUCUCUCUGUUUCUCUCUCUCGACGGCGACGGCGGCCCCUAGCCCUGCCUACGCUGUCCGCUCCCUCCUCUCCCUCUCGCGUUCUUUUGAUUCCCCACUCUCCAUCUCUGAUUUCUGGCUGUUUCUUUUCUGAUUUCUGAUUUCUUCUUUUUCUGCUGUGUCGGAUGGUGUGAGGGGUGAGUGAGGAGGGUGUUACCGUGUUUAUGGUGAGGUUGAGGGAAAGACAAGUAAGGAUAUACGUGUAAGGGAGUGGUGUAUGUAAAACUAAGGGAAGAUGUUCACAUG
RNAcentral lists this long non-coding RNA (3447 nucleotides) under Arachis ipaensis. Its description in RNAcentral is "long non-coding RNA (AIPA_LNC002217)". Lineage: Eukaryota; Viridiplantae; Streptophyta; Magnoliopsida; Fabales; Fabaceae. The record is from RNAcentral.